Molecule: ribosomal RNA, 590 nt
Filed under: Lithothamnion sp. J JLR-2016
Lineage: Eukaryota; Rhodophyta; Florideophyceae; Hapalidiales; Hapalidiaceae
Description: eukaryotic LSU rRNA
Rfam family: Eukaryotic large subunit ribosomal RNA
Source: RNAcentral
GAAUGAACUAGCCCUGAAAAUGGAUGACGCUGAAGCGGGCGGCCGACACCAGGUCGUUUGUGUAAAAAUCGAUGCAAAUGAGUAGGAGGGCGUGGCGGUCAGUGAGGAAGGUCGAGACGCGAGUCUGACUGAAACGGCCGCUAGUGCAGAUCUUGGUGGUAGUAGCAAAUAUUCAAGCGAGACCCUUGAAGGGCGAAGCGGGGAAGGGUUCCACGCGAACAUUGAUUGGGCGUGGGUGAGUCGUUCCUAAGCCGGGUGGUAAUCGAUCUUCGAAGCGGCGAAAGGGAAGCGGGUUAAAAUUCCUGCACACGGAUGUGAAAGCGGCGACGCAAAAUUGAGGUGAAGACGUCAGCGGUGGCCCUGGGCAGAGUUGUCUUUUCUGUUUGACCUGUGAGAUGCACGGUGUGGAAUCCGAUUAUCGGGAGAAACACGUGCCAAAGGGCAGAGCGUCGGGGCGUCCCCGGCGUCCAGAACGCCACCGAUGACCCUUGAAAAUUCAUCUGCAGUAAUAAUUAAUACAUUCACGCCGUGGCGUACCGAUAUCCGCAUCAGGUCCCCAAGGUGAACAGCCUCUGUCCAAUAUGAACAAU